This 468-nucleotide ribosomal RNA is filed under the name uncultured bacterium. RNAcentral describes it as "partial 16S ribosomal RNA". It matches the Rfam family "Bacterial small subunit ribosomal RNA", at positions 28 to 507 of the family's 1533-position model. The record is from RNAcentral.
GACGAACGCUGGCGGCGUGCUUAACACAUGCAAGUCGAACAGAAAGGCCCUGCUUUUGUGGGGUGCUCGAGUGGCGAACGGGUGAGUAACACGUGAGUAACCUGCCCUUUACUUUGGGAUAACUUCAGGAAACUGGGGCUAAUACCGGAUAGGAGCUCCUGCUGCAUGGUGGGGGUUGGAAAGUUUCGGCGGUUGGGGAUGGACUCGCGGCUUAUCAGCUUGUUGGUGGGGUAGUGGCUUACCAAGGCUUUGACGGGUAGCCGGCCUGAGAGGGUGACCGGCCACAUUGGGACUGAGAUACGGCCCAGACUCCUACGGGAGGCAGCAGUGGGGAAUAUUGCACAAUGGGCGGAAGCCUGAUGCAGCAACGCCGCGUGCGGGAUGACGGCCUUCGGGCUGUAAACCGCUUUCGCCUGUGACGAAGCGUGAGUGACGGUAAUGGGUAAAGAAGCACCGGCUAACUACGUG